AAAGAAACUGGAGCCACCAUCAAGCUGUCUAAGUCCAAAGAUUUUUACCCAGGGCCUGUCAUAGCAUUGUUGACAGGAACAGAUGAAAAAUGAAAUUAAUGUCUUGAGGUUUUUAACAGCAAAAUGAUUAAGGUGUUAACAGUCUAAUUCUACGAAAACAAAUUUGCAUGGCAUCACUAACCUAAGAACCACUACAUCAAAUCCGGAAUCCUUUGUAUGAAUUUCAAAGCCCUUUAUAAUCUGGCCCUACUUUACCUAUUCUUAGUUUGUGCUGUUGAUUCUCUAAUGCAUAUGUUGCCAUUACAGUGAUUAUACCUUUACUGUGCAUCCUCACUUGCUCUGUACAUACUCACCUUUCCCAUUGCUCAUGGUGCCUCCCAAUAACUUUAAGAAUCUAACUCAGUUUAGUUCACAGGUUGUACUGUAUUGUUUCAUUUGCGAGUGUAACUUAAUAGAUUAUUGUCAGAUCAUUAUUAAAGGCAUUGAC
RNAcentral lists this small RNA (487 nucleotides) under Pongo abelii (Sumatran orangutan). RNAcentral's name for it is "processed transcript". The record is from RNAcentral. Lineage: Eukaryota; Metazoa; Chordata; Mammalia; Primates; Hominidae.